This is a non-coding RNA of Odocoileus virginianus texanus, 535 nucleotides long. The record is from the annotation of a RefSeq genome assembly. Lineage: Eukaryota; Metazoa; Chordata; Mammalia; Artiodactyla; Cervidae.
GCAUUAGAGAAGAACUAAGACACAGGAGCAGCUCCUCAGAGGAGAAGAAUUGGAAUCAUUAAAAUUGCAUCAAGAGUGAGGUGGCAGGAUGGAGAACAUGCUGGAAUGUGCAUUCAUAGUCUUGUGGCUUCAGCUUGGAUGGCUGCGCGGAGAAGACCGAGUGGAGCAGAGUCCUCGGACCCUGAGAACCCAGGAGGGGGACAGUCUCAGCCUCAACUGCAGCCACACCGUCAGCGGUUUCAGAGCGUUACAGUGGUAUAGACAAGACCCCGGGAAGGGCCCUGAACUCCUCUUCCUUCUUUACUCAGCUGGGGAUGAAAAGCAGAAAGAAAGACUGAGAGCCACCUUGUUAAAGAAGGGAAGUUCUCUGCACAUCGAAGCCCCCAAACCCGAAGACUCAGCCACUUACCUCUGCGCUGUGCAGACACAGUGCUCCCCAGGCACCUGCAGACUGUACCCAAACCCUGAGGCUGCGGCUCUAGAAUAAGGGUGUCUUUGCUAUUUUCCUGCCUCCUGAGCACCCAGAGCCUCUUCC